This is a non-coding RNA of Dermacentor andersoni, 562 nucleotides long. The record is from RefSeq and is a predicted model, not a curated record. NCBI's taxonomy places the organism in Eukaryota, Metazoa, Arthropoda, Arachnida, Ixodida, Ixodidae.
CAAGUUGUUGCGGGAAGGUGCGGCGGCCGCGGUGAUUCAGCGCUGGGUUCGCACCGAGUUCAAGCGAUGGCUUCAAAACGGCAGGCCGUCUCGGCUCCGCAUGGCUACAUCGCCAUCGAACAGCCAGCGCUGGAUCGACGAGGACUACGGCGCCGUAUUCAGCACGGUGCUCGAAGACCCCAGUGUUAGCGCCGACGCACUGCGGCCUCCAGGAGCUGAGCAUUGCUCCGAAGACGAGCUUUUCUCCUACGGGAAGCGCCCCUCGGAAAGCAUUGACCAAGGUGGCGAAGCCGAAGCAUCGUUUCGAGUUCGCGAGUGCCGUACAGGACUUUCGCCUUCCUCGGCGAAGCUUCAGAAGGCUGCACUGAGGUUGAAAUCGCCCGCAGUGCAUUGUGGUAAAAAGAGCUUGGUAUCGAUGCACCAUUGAAUUUCGUAUGUGUAGGUCACAAUGUUUGCGCAGUUAUUUAACUGGUCGAUGAAAAAGCGCGAGAAAAUCCCGAAAUUCUCGCUACAGCAUUACUGCGCUCUGUCAGUUAUAAAAGUAAAGUAUUUUUGUCCCUUU